Molecule: long non-coding RNA, 5923 nt
Filed under: Sus scrofa (pig)
Lineage: Eukaryota; Metazoa; Chordata; Mammalia; Artiodactyla; Suidae
Description: lncRNA (ENSSSCG00050039221.1)
Source: RNAcentral
AGACUGCAGCUGUGUCCGCGGUGAACCUGCCGGUCUUGGCACUGCUGCUUCUAAGUUUAGAAAUGUCCCAUCAGACCUGAAGCCUGUGGGUCCAGAAGACACAUUUGAUCGGAUCCAACCUUUGGAAGAUCUGCUUGGAAAUUUCCCACUUCGUGUCCUGAGUCCAGGAACCCAGCAGUGGAAUUUUGUAGUGAGUGGUCCUUUCUUCCACCUGAGGCUCUAUCCCCUGUAUCCAGUCAUUCUCUCAUUGUUUAAGGGUCUAUUCAAGACAAGUUUAUCAGAGCCAACUGCACAUCAGCUAGUUGGGGAAGCCAGAACGGUGACCAAAGCCAAUGAUAUCUGUACCCUCAUGGAAAUAGCGGUGUCAUGGAGGUCAUGGCAGUGCAGAGGUCCUGAGGCAAGAAAGAGUUUGAUGCGUGAAAAGGGCAUGUCUGGACACAUGGGGAAGAGGUGGAGAGGAGUAACUCUUUCAGGACCUCAGAGGUUGUGUUAAAAUAUGGAUUUUAAGUCUUAAGAGCAAUAGCUACCAGUAAUGACCAGUUUUAUGUAGGAAAAUGACAUGUGAUCAAAAUUUGCCUCCUAAAAACAUCACUCCAAUUUCUGAGUGGAGACAGGUGUGGGAGCAAGGAGAGUUAGGAGGCCACCGUGUAGUCUAAUGGGAGGUCAUGGUGGCUUGGAUCAGGGUAUUAGUGGUAGAUGUGAAGGCCAUUGGAGAGAUACUAGAUGAACUUGGGCAGUAGUACCUGCCAGUUGUGAUGGAUCAGAGUGGAGGAGGGGUGAGAAGGGUCUUAAGCAUGACUCUCCAGAUCUUGGCAUGGACAACAUAAUGGAGAGGGAAGUGUCAUUUCCUAUGAUGAGAAAGGUUGCAAGAGAAUUAGAUUUGUGGGGAAGAUUCAGCUUCAAUUUGGGACUGAAAUUCUUUUUUGAGUUUGAGUAACACCUAAACACAGGGGGCUGGGGGAGGAAAUCAGCAGUUAGAUGGCCAGGUCUAGAGUUCAGGAGAGAAAUAUGGGCUAGCUCGAUCAUUCCUUUAUUCCUUCAUGGUGUUCAGUUUGAGGGUUCCUGGAUGGAGGCUUGGUCUGAACCCAGGGCAGUAAUUCAUACAGGGUGAUUACGAGAUGAUUUGAGGGGCUAGGAAUAAUAGCUACUUAUUUCUGCCAAAGGUUUGCAUGAGGCAAGUGCCUGGAUGGGUGCUCAUUGCUAUGGUUGUUAGUCAAGCAUCUUGAGCAUGAAGUGGAAGGUGGACUGCUGAACCUUUGGUGCUCCUGCCUGGGCUUGGCGUUGGGAGUUGUCCCUGAUAGAAACAAAGGGGUCGGAAUUUUAGACUCCAGUAAACAUGAUGGUGAGGGUAGCAGUGAUGAUGGAGGUGGCGAUGGUGGAUAUGGUAGAGUUAGAGGGGAUGGUGAUGACGGUUUUGGUGAUGGUGGUGAUGAUGGUGAUGAUGGUGGUGGUGGUGGUGAUGAUGGUAUUGGCAAUGGUGAUGGUGGUACUGAUGAGGGAGGUGGUGGUGGUGAUGAUGAUGGUGGUGGUCAUGGUGAUGGUGGUGGUGGUGAUGAUAUUGAUGAUGGUGUGGGUGAUGGUGAUGAUGGGGUGGUGGUGAUGGUGGUGGUGGGAAUGGGCCCAGUUAGUAUGUGUUCUUUAAACUUAAAUUCACACCCAGUCCUGUGAUUUCUAUUUUAUGUGUUCAUUUUCCAUGCCAGGAGGUAGAAAAAGUGUAUAUGAAACUUAGCUGUUUAAGAUACAGGAUUUACAUUAACCGUCCGUUUCCCAUCACUGUAGAGCCCAAUUCCCCUCAUCAUUUAAUUAGUAAAGGCAGGGUCCUUGGAGGUGGGGAAAUGCGUGGAUAAUGUUCCAAACCCUUAAUCUUUCACCCUCAUGAGUCUCAUAGUAUGCAUUUCUUCAGUGGAUAUCAAGUAUAAGAAUAAGUAUUUAUUUGCCUGCCUUCCACAGACAAAUUGUGUCAUUAAGAACACUAUCAAAGAGGAUAUGUCUCCAUUGAGUGAUGUGGGUUAUUAUUUGUGUAUAAUUUUUUGAGUUCAUUUAUUCUACAUGGCCUAGAGGACCCAGAACUUGCUCUGUUCUCUUAGACGUAACAAGAGGUUAUUUCGGGAGCUGAUUACUUGAUUUUUUAAAAAAAUUUUGGUCGUCCUGGGGUUGAAAGCUACAGAGAGGGGUGAUAUGCAUGUGUGCAACUCUAUCCUAUAUUUGGAAUGGGCUGAUCUUUUUUUUUUUUUUGAUAGAUUGUUGGCUGCUUGGAAUCGCAGAUGCAUCAUUAAGCUAUUGCAUUUAAAUUUAGCUCUUGUUCUCACUUUGGAAGGGAAUGGAAUGUUUCAAUUAUUUCACCACGAAGGGGAAGUGAUUAGAAAAUAGAUCCUCAUGACUUCUCAAAAAUAAGAGGUCUAGCCAGUGAGUCUCAGAGGGGGCUGCAUAUUUGACUCAGAAGAGGAGGCUCUUGAGUGGACCUUCAGUGUGGAGGAAAUUAAAAUUGCCUUAAGCAGGAGUUCCUGCUCUGGCACAGUGGGUUAAGGAUCUGACUGUAGAGGCUCAGGUUGCUUUGGGGGGAGGUGUGGGUUUUGAUCCCUGUCCCAGUGCAGUGGGUUAAUAAGGACCUUGUGUUGCCACAGCUGUGGCACAGGUCACAGCUGUGGCUUGGAUUCAGUCCCUGGCUUAGGAACUUUCAUAUGCUGCCACUGCUGUGGCCAUUAAAAAAUAAAUAAAUAAAUAAAUAAAAAAUAAAAUUGCCUGAAACACACCUUGGUGAUCACUAAGGUUUAAGCUCCCCAAGGGCAGCGUAUAUGUAAGCCAGCCAAGAUCAUUAUUCUUAAUAGGAUUGUGUCCACUCUUUUAAAUAGGGGCCAGGGCCCCUCUGUGUAAACAAAACAUUAAAAUGUCUAUUCCUAGACCCAAGUUGAAGAAAUGUCACCCACAACACUUUCACAGGGUUGAAUAUGUGAAUAUGUGGAAACAUCUUUAAAAUCAUUUUCCUUUGUCAGAUUUCAGGGGCAGCAGAUGCCCCUUGAAGUCAUAUCUUAGGUGUAUAAAGAAUGAAAAUCAUAAGUGACUAGACAUAGUUCCAAGUGCUACAUCCUGUAUAACUUUCCCAUCCUUGAUCCCCAUCAAUAAUCACAGCUCUCCAUUGGAUGUUUCUUUUCAGGAUUUUCAGACCCUCUUCCAUGUGUAAAAAAUAUAUACACAAACAUAUACAGAUGCCUAUGCAUAUACAGUAGGAUGAGUAGGCAUUCCCACUGUGGCACAAUGGAAUGGAUGGUGUUUCUGGAGUGCUGGGACACAGGUUCAAUCCCCAGCCCUGCACAGUGGGUUAAAGAUCUGGUGUUGUCAAAGCUGCAGUGUAGCUCACAACUGUGGCUCGGAUCUGAUCCCUGGCCCAGGAAUUCCAUAUGCCGUGGGGCGGCCAAAAAAAGGGUGUGUGUAUGUGUGUGUGUGUGUGUGUGUGUGUGUGUGCAAAUAUUUUUUAUGUAUGUGUCCCCAAGUACAGACAAAUACUUCUCUGCAAUUUAUAAAGUUCAUUUUUCAUGACUCAGGAAGGAAAUGGAUAUAUUCAGUUUGUAAAAUCUCAAGGGUCUUUGACUAUCUCCCUUUUACACAUUCACCACUAUUAUUGGUUUGGUCCUUCUGGACCUUUUCCUACGUAUUUGUGUUUGUGUGUGUGUGUGUGUGUGUGUGUGAGAGAGAGAGAGAGAGAUAUGUCUAACAGCCUGACUUUGUACAUAAUAGCUGCUCAGUCAAUAUUUGCUGAAACCGGAGAUGGUUGACCCUGCAAGGAAAUGGACCCAUUGGUCCAUUGGCACUUUGACCGCAACAGCUGUUUUUCACUCCCCCUCUUAGAUAAGUUGUAUUGUUCCUGCCUCCUGGGGUUGGCCCCAAAGAACUAAGUACUCAAUUCCAUGAGCUCUUGGAACACAGAUUGCAUCCAACUCUGCAUACAGUUGGAGAGAGGGAAAUUUUGUCUUCUCUGCCUCUGUGGAGGAUUUUGUGACUGUCAGCCUGGGGAAGGCAUAGCCAAAAUCUAUUGACCAACCCAGUAUUUCCAGAGUGUUCUACAGGGAACCAAAUAGACAUCUAUGGUCAACAAAGCCUGGAUACAGUAAUGUAGUUACUAGAAAAAAAAUUCUUUAUUAAAAAAUUAUAACUAGCACAGUAAUACAUGGUUUCAUAGUAGUAAUACAAAGUUUCUCUUUUUUCAAGAAAUAAAUCUUGGGGUUCCCAUUGUGGCUCAAUGGGUUUAGAACCUGACAGAAGUGUCUGUGAGGAUGCGGGUUUGAUCCCUUGCCUCCCUCAGGGCAUUAAGGAUCAGGCAGUGCCACAACCUGCGGUGUGGGUCUCAUAUGUGGUCAGAUUUGGUGUGGCUACGGCUGUGGCAUAGGCCUGUGGCUGCAGCUCCUAUUUGACCCCUUGCAUGGGAACUUCCACAUGCUGCAGGUGCAGUCCUCAAAAGAAAAAAAAAUUAUUUUAUUUUUAAUGAUAAAAUACAUUUCACCUUUACUAGUUUAUUUCCUGGUCAACCAACACAUUUUUUUUCUAUUUCAUUUUUCAAAAUGUUAUUGAAGUAGAGUUGAUUUACAAUGUUGUAGUAAUUUCUGCUGUACAGCAAAGUGAUUCAGUUAUGCAUGUACACUCAAGCAUUCUCUUUCAGAUUCUCUCCCUAUGUAGAUCAAGACAUUUUCAAUUUGUUUCAUUAUAUAAGUUUCAGGGGCACAGCAUUAUAAUUUGGCAUCUGUAUGCAUGACAGAUUCCACCAUGAGUCUAGUUACGGUCCUUCAUCAUAUGCUUUGACCCUUCACCUUCCCCCCAACCUCAUUCCCCUUUGGUAACUCCUAAUCUGAUCACUGUAUGUAUGAGUUUAUUUUUGUUUUAUUUGUUUUGUCUUUAGAUUCCAUGUAUGAGCGAAAUCAUAUGGUAUUUGUCUUUCUCCAUCUGACUUCUGACUUAUUUCACUUAGCAUAAUGCCCCCAAGGUCUAUCCAUGUUGUCAAAAAUGGCAGGAUUUUGUUCCUUUUUUAUGGCUGAGUAGUAUUCUAUGUAUAUAUAUAUAUAUACACUGCUAUCUUAAUCUAUUCAUCUGUUGACAGACACUUAGGUUGUUUCCAUAUCUUGGCUAUUGUGAAGAGUGCUGCUAUGGGAGUUCCCAUCGUGGCUCAGCGGAAACGAAUGUGACUAGCAUCUAUGAGGAGGCAGGUUUGAUCCCUGGCCUUGCUCAGUGGGCUAAGGAUCUGGCAUUGCCAUGAGCUAUGAUGUAGGUUGCAGAUGUGGCUCAGAUCUGGCAUUGCUGUGGCUGUGGUGUAGGCCACAGCUCUAAUUCAGUCCCUAGCCUGGGAACCUCCAUAUGCCAUGGGUGCCGCCCUUAAAAAAAAAAGAGAGAGAGUGCUGCUGUGAGCGUUUGGGGAGCAUGUUAUCUUUUUAGAUUACUGUUUUUGUGUUCUUUGGAGAAAUACCUAGAAGUGGAAUAGCUGGAUCACAGGAUAGUUCUAUUCUUAAUUUUUUGAGGAGCCUCCAUACUGUUUUCCAUAGUGGCUGCACCAGUUUACAUUCCCACCAACAAUGGUUCCCUUUUCUCUACAUUCUCUCCAACAUUUGUUAUUUCUGGUCUCUUUGAUGAUAGCCAUUUGGACAGGCAUGAAACUGGACAGCCACAGGCAAAUAAUGAAACUAGGAGUUCCCGUUGUGGCUCAGAAGGUCAAUGUUGUCUCUGUGAAGAUUUGGGUUCAAUACCUGGUCUAGCUCAGUGGCUUAAGGAUCCGGCAUUGCCACAAGCUGAAGCAUAGGUUGCAGAUGCAGCUUGAACUUGGUGUUGCUGUGGCUGUGGCAUAGGCCAGCAGCUGCAGCUCUGAUUUGACCCCUGGCCUGGUAACUUCCAUAAACUGCAGGUGCAGCUGUAAAAAAAAAAAAAAAAAAAAAAAAAAAAA